Molecule: ribosomal RNA, 552 nt
Filed under: uncultured bacterium
Lineage: Bacteria
Description: bacterial SSU rRNA
Rfam family: Bacterial small subunit ribosomal RNA
Source: RNAcentral
ACGGAAUCCAUCCGGUGGUAACACCGGUGAAGAUUUAGUGGCGAACGGGUGCGUAGCACGUGAGCAACCUGCCCCAAAGACUGGGAUAACACCGGGAAACCGAUGCUAAUACCGGAUGCCCCCAUUGGUCCGCAUGGACCGAUGAGGAAAGGAAUCUGCUUUGGGAGGGGCUCGCGGCCUAUCAGCUUGUUGGUGAGGUAACGGCUCACCAAGGCGACGACGGGUAGCUGGUCUGAGAGGACGAUCAGCCACACUGGGACUGAGACACGGCCCAGACUCCUACGGGAGGCAGCAGUAGGGAAUCUUGCGCAAUGGGCGAAAGCCUGACGCAGCAACGCCGCGUGGGGGAUGAAGGCCUUCGGGUUGUAAACUCCUUUCAGUAGGAACGAAAUUGACGGUACCUACAGAAGAAGCCCCGGCCAACUACGUGCCAGCAGCCGCGGUGAUACGUAGGGGGCGAGCGUUGUCCGGAUUUAUUGGGCGUAAAGAGCUCGUAGGCGGCUUGGCAAGUCGGCGUGUGAAACCCCCAGGCUCAACCUGNGGACGCCACUC